Long non-coding RNA from Brassica rapa (field mustard), 2964 nucleotides. RefSeq lists it as uncharacterized. The record is from RefSeq and is a predicted model, not a curated record. NCBI's taxonomy places the organism in Eukaryota, Viridiplantae, Streptophyta, Magnoliopsida, Brassicales, Brassicaceae.
AAUAUAGAAAAUCUAUUUCUUGAUGCUUUUAUAUUAGCCAUUUUAAAAUUUAUAUGAUGGUUAUAUAGUUUAGACAUUACCAUGAGUUUUACUAUGAAAUCUUUUGGUUAAAUAACUAAUUACAUAAGAAAUGGUAAUAAUUUCUUAUGGUCUACUAUAUGCCAGACUAUAUCUUGGAGAACUAUCAGCGAAGAUAUUUUAUUAUACGAUGAUGAGUGCUUAAGUUAUAGGUUUAACCACAACCAAUUUUUUUCUAACACCAAGGAAGUAAUCAAAUCGAAUAAUAAAUGUUUAGGGGGUGUUAUUCAAUCAUGUAUUUUAGUAUAGUUUAAAUCUAAACACAAUCUACUGUUAUUCGAAUGAUGCUUUUAAAUUCUAUUUUAAAAUCUAGUGAUAUUCAAUAAAUGAUUUGAAUUCAUCUUUUAAAAUUUAAUAUCAUUCAACUUUUAAAGAUUUUUAAAUUCUUUAUAUUUUCAAUCGAUUUUAAAUUAUCUCUGGUAGAGUCUCAUGAAUAAUGAGUGAACUCAAAAUCCAAGGCAUACUAUAGAGAUUUUAGACAACUUAAACUAUUUUAAAAUUUUAAAAUUUGAUGGAUUGCAAAACAUUAAUAACAUUUGUAAUCACUGAUUGAAUAACACCCACUUUAGUGUUAUAACUGCGUGCCUAAAGGUAACAAACUCGUCAUAAUGGAGUUUAGCGAGAGAUCGAACCUUAAUUUAUUAACGUUGGAUAGUCAUGAUGAUAUUCUAACAUCUAAAAAAUUCUAAAUGAAGGUUUAUCAAUUACGGUCUAUGAGAUAAAAAUAAUCCCAAUUUAUUAGAAGAUUGACUUAAGAAAUCAAAUUAGGUUUUAACAAUUUAUUAAUUUGUUCAAAUUUACAAAAAAACUUUGUCGCAGUUUGAAUACGAGUUUUAUCAGAAUUUGAGAUUACAUAUGAUUUUACUGUGGUUUGUGUUUUUUGUUUGUUUUUGUUUCUUAAGAUGGCAUAAUUAAAGGAUUUAUAUGAAAAAAAAACGUUAUGUCAAAACCUUCGUCUCACUCGAGUAGCCCUAGCAUUGAGGACUGAGGACACAAGUCACACAAUAAAAUUUUGAUAAGACACACUCAGAUUUGAUAGCAUAAAGGCUUGUGAGAGAGGGUGGGGGGGGGGGAGGACACUUUCUUAUAGUAAGAAUAAAACAGAGAUAUAUACGAACAUCUCCAGAAAUAUUUUAGAACUAAUGAAUUGAAAAGAACAAAUAACACAGAAAAGAGCUUUUAUUGCACAUGUAUUUUUCAAUUUUCAUUAAAUAAAAUAUUAACGUUUUGAUUGUAAAGAAUUUAAGAAGAGUUUUCAGCAGUCGGAUAUUCUAAUAUUUUUUUGUUUAAUUUUUUUUUUGAUAUUGAGUUGUGAGAUUUAUAUUGAUAUUUUUAAGGUUUGUAAUUAUUCAUUUCGAAUGAUUAAUAUAAAGAAUUUUCUGACAAAAAUGUAUUCUUCUCAUUUUAUCCUAUUUUAGUUUACCUUUUACUACUUCAUCCAAAUACAAAUAUUUAUUUAUAGUUUAUAAUAUUUAUGCAUUAAUUGAGACACUUAGAAGUGCAAUGAUAUACAUAACGUAAAUUAUAUAUAUAUAUAUAUACUGAAAUUUUCAUUGACCCUGCAAUUGUAACUCAUAGUUUCAUGGGACAACUCAUGCUUUUCUGUGUCACUAAUUAAUUUCUUAUAACAAAUAACCAGUCGCGAAUUAUAUUAUAUAUAAAUGGGUUAGGUAGCUUAAGUGACCACGCCAUAACAGACACAAUAAUUAUCAAAAGGUGUUUUUUAUUAAUUAGUAGUUAAUUAGCGGUAUAUAGUAGUUGAGGAUUCAACGUAUUAGUCGAAAAUUUGAUAUACGUUUUAUGUUGGAGUUUGUAUACUUUUUCUGUGAGAAAAAUAUGUUUGACUACAAAGUACAAACUUAUGUUUUGGUAUAUAUGAUCGUACAUGCCUAUUUACUAAAAUAAAAUAAAUAUUAUUGUUCAAUACAACGUAGACUUCAAAAUAAUUUCGUCCGUUAUGUAAUAUAUAUAUCCUCUAAUGCUAAUAAGAUCACAUCAAUGGUUUUUAGUCUAGAAGUUUCAUGCAAAUUCGAUAUCAUCUAGAGAGGCCAGCAGGGAUGAAGUAAUUAAGAAUUUAAGAUAACUCUAUGUACAUAUAAACAUACGUUAAAAGGAAGGAAAAGGAAUCCCAAGUUAGACUUCUAACUUUUCGAAUUAUGGCAAACUGGACUCAGAUUCAUGUUUUUAUUUUUCUUUAACUUUUCGAAUUAUGGCAAAUUGGACUCAGAUUCAUGUUUUUUUUUCUCACUUUACCAUUCAUGCGAAUGGACCGACGAUAAGCAAGCAAUGAGCUUUUCCUUCACAAUAUAUUUAAUUUUAAUAAGAAGCGCCAGAGGUUUUCGAUAAAAAAACAUCAUUAAAUUAGAUAAUAAUUUGAUGUUCUCCACAUCUACAACUCUUUAUAUCAGAGUUGUUUAAGUAAAAUGUCAGAGUUGUUUGUCCACCACUCACACCCAACACACGAUUAUAUAUUUUUUAAAUAUUAACAGGGCAAUAAAAUAUUCAGUAAAGUUAUUAUACGUUGGUUUUUAAAUAGGAGUGGUGCUAGACAAUGACUGGUUUUGUUAUGAAUAUUAUUAUCGUAGAGUUUCCUCAAAGGGAAAGCAUCUCUUAUUUCCGAAUGAGGACACUUUUCUCCCGAAUAAUUUAUUUUGCUUUGAUAUAUUUAGCGAUGCAGGCAAGUAAAUGUACACUAUAACUAUACUUUUAGUUCUAUCUUUAAUACAGAUCUCCGAGCUUUCUAGCUAGGUUUCUUUCCUGUAUUUUGGUGGUAUGAUUCCAGUUAUAAUAUAUUUCUUAAUGGUUUAGCUCAUCCUCUUGUCACCAUUGCGAUGAUAUUUGACUGUAUUGAUUAGGACAUUUCCAUUCCUACUUUAUUUUUUUUUA